Molecule: ribosomal RNA, 200 nt
Filed under: uncultured bacterium
Lineage: Bacteria
Description: partial 16S ribosomal RNA
Rfam family: Bacterial small subunit ribosomal RNA
Source: RNAcentral
AGAGUUUGAUCAUGGCUCAGGAUGAACGCUAGCGGCAGGCCUAAUACAUGCAAGUCGAGGGGCAGCGCAGUGUAGCAAUACAUGGGCGGCGACCGGCAAACGGGUGCGGAACACGUACGCAACCUUCCUUCAAGCGGGGAAUAGCCCAGAGAAAUUUGGAUUAAUACCCCAUAAGAAUGUAGUCUGGCAUCAGAUAGCAU